GAGCAAGAGCAUCUAUUGCAAAAUUAAAUGGUGCAUCCUGCCUUGAACGUUGGCAAAAAUAAGACUAGUGAUUCUCCGUGCCUAUCAAAUUGAUUUUAGACUGUUUUGAUAAUGCUUCGACCAAAUUGCCACAUG
Molecule: small nucleolar RNA, 135 nt
Organism: Neltuma alba
Lineage: Eukaryota; Viridiplantae; Streptophyta; Magnoliopsida; Fabales; Fabaceae
Source: RefSeq, a predicted model, not a curated record